RNAcentral lists this ribosomal RNA (207 nucleotides) under uncultured bacterium. RNAcentral's name for it is "partial 16S ribosomal RNA". It matches the Rfam family "Bacterial small subunit ribosomal RNA", at positions 568 to 774 of the family's 1533-position model. The record is from RNAcentral.
CGCGUAGGCGGAUUAUUAAGUCAGGGGUGAAAUCCCGGGGCUCAACCCCGGAACUGCCCUUGAUACUGGUAGUCUUGAGUUCGAGAGAGGUGAGUGGAAUUCCGAGUGUAGAGGUGAAAUUCGUAGAUAUUCGGAGGAACACCAGUGGCGAAGGCGGCUCACUGGCUCGAUACUGACGCUGGGGUGCGAAAGUGUGGGGAGCAAACA